This 194-nucleotide ribosomal RNA is filed under the name uncultured bacterium. RNAcentral's name for it is "partial 16S ribosomal RNA". It matches the Rfam family "Bacterial small subunit ribosomal RNA", at positions 335 to 530 of the family's 1533-position model. The record is from RNAcentral.
UUUUUACGGGAGGCAGCAGUGAGGAAUAUUGGUCAAUGGACGGAAGUCUGAACCAGCCAAGUAGCGUGCAGGAUGACGGCCCUCCGGGUUGUAAACUGCUUUUAGUUGGGAAUAAAAAAGGGACGUGUCCCUUAUUGUAUGUACCUUCAGAAAAAGGACCGGCUAAUUCCGUGCCAGCAGCCGCGGUAAUAAAA